This 468-nucleotide ribosomal RNA is filed under the name uncultured bacterium. RNAcentral's name for it is "bacterial SSU rRNA". It matches the Rfam family "Bacterial small subunit ribosomal RNA", at positions 335 to 801 of the family's 1533-position model. The record is from RNAcentral.
ACUCCUACGGGAGGCAGCAGUAGGGAAUAUUGGUCAAUGGACGGAAGUCUGAACCAGCCAUGCCGCGUGCAGGAAGACGGCCUUCUGGGUUGUAAACUGCUUUUAUCAGGGAAGAAUAAGCUUCUUGCGAGAGGUGAUGCCGGUACCUGAGGAAUAAGCACCGGCUAACUCCGUGCCAGCAGCCGCGGUAAUACGGAGGGUGCAAGCGUUGUCCGGAUUUAUUGGGUUUAAAGGGUGCGUAGGCGGCCUGUUAAGUCAGUGGUGAAAGGUAUCAGCUCAACUGAUGACGUGCCAUUGAAACUGGCGGGCUUGAGUACAGACGAGGUAGGCGGAAUUUAUGGUGUAGCGGUGAAAUGCAUAGAUACCAUAAAGAACACCGAUAGCGAAGGCAGCUUACUAGGCUGAGACUGACGCUGAGGCACGAAAGCGUGGGAGCGAACAGGAUUAGAUACCAUGGUAGGCUCUGCU